This 501-nucleotide long non-coding RNA is filed under the name Mytilus galloprovincialis (Mediterranean mussel). The record is from RNAcentral. Lineage: Eukaryota; Metazoa; Mollusca; Bivalvia; Mytilida; Mytilidae.
CAUGUCAUUAACAAUUCUAGGUUUAAAUAGCCAAGCCCUUAGUUUUAAAGGUAACUAUAAAUGUAAUAUGUUUUAAUAUUGUUAAAUAGUUGUGUAUCAAUUUUUUAAAUAAAUUUUAUGUCCCCAGACUAAUUUUCCUAGGAAAUCAUCCCCCCGCCAAAUUAUGUAUGUAUGUGCCUGUCCUAAGUCAGGAGCCUGUAAUUCAGUGGUGGUCGUCUGUUCAUGUGUUACAUAUUUGUUUUUCGUUCAUUUUUUUUUUAUGUAAAUAAGACCGUUAGUUUUCUCGUUUGAUUUGUUUUACAUUGCCUUUCGGGGUCUUUUAUAGCUGACUAUGGGGUAUGGUCAUUGCUCAUUUAUGAAGGCCGUACGGUGACCUAUAGUUGUUAAUUUCUGUGUCAUUUUGGUUUCUUGUGGACAGUUGUCUCAUUGACAAUCAUACCACAUCUUCUUUUUCAUAUAAUACGAAUAACGUCGUUUAUUUAGACCAAACUUAUAAUGACA